GGUUCAUAGGAGGUUACAAGUGAGUAGAUCAUGUCUAUUUUACAUAUUUAUUCAAUUCAAUGUUUGAGGUUGUGAUGGACCAAAGUGUUAAAUAUCUAAUUUAAGUUUGGCUACCAAAAAAAUUUAAAAAGAAAAGGCCACAAUCGCGUGCAACUACCAUGAACCUACCUCACAUACUUCUGAGGAAGAGGAUCAACUUUCUUAAUAUGAGGAUAGUAUAAUAAAGCCAGCGUUUUACUAAACAUUUAUAAUCCAGUCACACUUAUGAUUUACUGAAUGGUUGGCCAAAGAUCAGAGGACUUUUGAACCAAUUUAUUUAUCUUCAAUGUCGAUAUUGAAAGGGAAGAAAUGAGGCAGAAUGCCUGUAGGUAUCAAAAAGAGAAAUAUUAGUUUAUUUCCAGUAUGUACGUGUAUUAUUCUGUCUAAAGCCAUUUGAGGCACAAAGUAACAAGAAAAAGAGCUUUAAGAAACUUACCAGUUAGUAGAAGAUAAGGGAGCACAUAGACUACGAAAUCAUGCCUUCCUCUUCAUCCUACUUCCCUUCUUUUUUCUUUCUUCCUAUCCAUUUGCUUCUUUAGUUAAUUCAUUUAUUUUAUUUUUUCAUUGCCUCACAAGUCUGUCAAUAUUUCAGCUCAUACUUUCCUUGGGAAAGAAAAGAACCACCAAGGAAAUAUUUGCCACAAUUUUUGCUUGGAAUCUACUAUCUCGAUAAAGUUAGACAAACAGCAUUAGAUAUGCAUGCUACUUGCUAUCUUCUCACUUCUUGAGAUGCAAAAUGCAACACGGUCAUCCAUACUUGUAACCUGCGAAGUUUCAUUUAAUUGUUCUAUAAUCGGCACAUAUGUAAAUAGAGACGCUUGCUAUAUUCAUAACAUGGCUAUUACAACUCAUAAUAUGGCUUUGCUGAUUUUCGACCCCAUAUGGUGCAUGAAAAAGUGUUAGAAAGUGUCCACAGCAGCCACUGAGGUGCUCAGCUGAGCAGAAACAGACCCUCAGGCUCCUCCCUAGGAACUAGAGAAAUGAAAGACGGAAAGCAUACUUGAAAAGCAAAGUUAAAAUGCUGGCUGUAAAACCUUUAUCAAAAUGGCAUAGCUAUGUAUAACAAAGAAAGUUCAAAAAAUGAUAGUAAUAACUCAAUGACAACAAAUUUUAAU
RNAcentral lists this long non-coding RNA (1154 nucleotides) under Elaeis guineensis (African oil palm). Its description in RNAcentral is "long non-coding RNA (EGUI_LNC036201)". The record is from RNAcentral. Lineage: Eukaryota; Viridiplantae; Streptophyta; Magnoliopsida; Arecales; Arecaceae.